GCCCACUUGUCCCAUCCACCAAAUCCCUCCGCCGCCACCAGUCCACUACAUCUUCCUCAGGAUCCCCUUCUCCUCGUCUUCCUCCACCCACCAACAGGAGCCCGAGAUCUUUCUCCACGACCCCGAGCACUUGAUCCACCGGACCAACCACCUUCUCCUCUUAAUCCAUGGCCACCUCCUACUCGAGCAACCAGCGCCCCGCUGUUUUCUCUCCCCUGUCCGAUCUGGAGGAGAGGAGCUCCUCCAGGCCCCACCUAGCGUGAUAGUCGCCGGUCACCCAAGCAGCAGCAGAUGAGCAUCACGGCCCUCCUCUUCCUCAUGUUUUCUCCUUGUCCUCGUGUAUCCUCCUCCAUCUCUCAACUCCCCUCCUUUGCUUCUUACCGCAAGAACCGGUUGCAGCUGUCGAACACCAUGGAUUCGCGCCAAGAGCUCUUAUGGUCACCGUGACCUCGCCGUCAGGAUCCGCUUCCUCCUGCGACCCUCCAGCCACCCGCCACAACCUUCGUCAUGCCCGCGAGCUUCGCCUGCACCUCGCCUCCCCGACAUGAACUGUCCCGAUCCGACCAUCUCCGGUGGCCUCCUCAUCGUCGCGGCCUAGGCAAACUACAGACCCACCGUGACCUCGCCCGCGCCUCCCUUUACCUCUCCCCUUUCCCUCUUUGGUCCUCUCUCUCGCUCACGAUCUCUCUGCCUCUCACCUUGCUUCCCUGCAGGAACCGAACAACACCGCUGCCUCCCCUGCCGACUUGAAUCCGCCGGAUCCGGUGACUCUUGCCGCCGCCACCAAGAACCUUGCCGGGGAACGACGUUCCGCCCCUGGACCCGCUCGUUUCAGCCGCCGCUGCCGCUCUGAACCUCGCGCCCCGCUGCUGACUGCUUCGUUUCAAUCGAGGACGAGCGGUCCCUCUUCGUCGUGUUGACCGCACAAGACCAGUGCCUGGGCCGUGUCUCGCGUGAGGUCCACCAACCGGCCCGGCUGCCAGGCCCAGCGGCGCUCGGCCUGCCAAGCCUCUUCCCUGACUGGGCCUCAACCCGAUGUUAGCAGCCCUGCUCCAUGUGCACUGUUGGGCUGACCAGAUUUGGCCCGUUUCAUUUUUUUUCCACAAAACGAAUUUCCUAUUUAUUCCAGAGUUGGCAGUUUUACAGAAUAACCCCUAAGCCUCAUGCAUAUUGUAACUCUCAAACCGUGCAUCACUUGUAAAUAACUUAUAUAUGAAAAUGGUUAUAAUUUUGUGUAUAUUCAUAAUAUCCAACUUUCAUCCAUAUUUAAAAUGUUUAAAAUGAUGUUUGCACAUAUUUUGCCUAUUAUCUUGUUAAAAUGAUUUAAUUCAUAACUAAAUAACCGUAACUCGAAAUGUAAUAAGCUUUAUAUGUAAAUGGGGUGGAAAAUGCCUAGUUUAACGUGGUGGCUUUACUUUGCAUGUUUAACAACUAUAAAAUAUGGUUUAGGAUUGAACAGUACCAUAACCAAAAUAUGCACAUGAGGAGUUUCCGGACUUGUUGUUUGUCAUUUCGGCCUCAUUUAAACUUGCCUAGAUAGGUAGUUUUCAUUUGCUUCACCCUCUUGCCAUGUUUAACAACAUUUAAUAUUGUUGUGUACAUAAAAGAGAUCGAACUAAAUAACUUGAACGUGGUGUUUCGUCAAUAUGCAAUGGAGUUGCAUAUUGAGCUCCACUUAAUUUGUAGGAUUGCUUGUGCACUUUGCCAUGCCAUGCCCUCUUUAAACCGGACAUGCAUCAUACUUGUUUGUGCUUCAUGCCAUGUCUAUGUGGUGGUUGUUUACUAUGUUGUUUGCUUCUUUUCGGUGUGCUUCUUUGGGUUUUUCCGAUAACGUCGCGUUUGUGAGGAUCCGUUCGACUACGUCCAUUUGUCUUCUUCAUGGACUCGUUCUUCUUCCUUGCGGGAUCUCAGGCAAGAUGAUCAUACCCUCGAAAUCACUUCUAUCUUUGCUUGCUAGUUGCUCACUCUUUUGCUAUGCCUAUGCCGCGAUACCUACCACUUGCUUAUCAUGCCUCCCAUAUUGUUGAGCCAAGCCUCUAACCCACCUUGUCCUAGCAAACCGUUGUUUGGCUAUGUUACCGCUUUUCUCAGCCCCUCUUAUAGCCUUGUUAGUUGCAGGUGAAGAUUGGAGUUUGUUCCAUGUUGGAACAUAGAUAUUUUGUUGGGAUCACAAUAUCUCUUAUUUAAUUAAUGCAUCUAUAUACUUGGUAAAGGGUGGAAGGCUCGGCCUUAUGCCUGGUGUUUUGUUCCACUCUUGCCGCCCUAGUUUCCGUCAUAUCGGUGUUAUGUUCCAGGAUUUUGCGUUCCUUACGCGGUUGGGUUAUAAUGGGAACCCCUUGACAGUUCGCCUUGAAUAAAACUCCUCCAGCAUGGCCCAACAUUGGUUUUACCAUUCGCCACCUAGCCUUUUUCUUUCCCUUGGGUUCUGUAGACUCAAGGGUCGUCUUUAUUUUAAACCCCCGGGCCAGUGCUCCUCUGAGUGUUGGUCCAAACAGAGCGAUGUCCAGAGCUACCAGGGGCAACCCUGGGCUGGCCCACCCGACGUCUGGCUCAUCUGGUGUGCCCUGAGAACGAGAUAUGUGCAGCUCCUAUCGGGAUUUGUCGGCACAUCUAGGUGGCUUUGCUGGUCUUGUUUUACCAUUGUCGAAAUGUCUUGUAACCGGGAUUCCGAGUCUGAUCGGGUCUUCCCGCUAGAAGGAAUAUCCUUCGUUGACCGUGAGAGCUUGUGAUGGGCUAAGUUGGGACACCCCUGCAGGGAUUUGAACUUUCGAAAGCCGUGCCCGCGGUUAUGGGUAGAUGGGAAUUUGUUAAUGUCCAAUUGUAGAAAACCUGAAGUUAAUCUUAAUUAAAAUGCAUCAACCGCGUGUGUAACCGUGAUGGUCUCUUCUCGGCGGAAUCCGGGAAGUGAACACGGUAUUGGAGUUAUGCUUGACGUAGGUUGUUCUAGGAUCACUUCUUGAUCAUAGUUGUUCGACCGUGCUUUUGCCUUCUCUUCUCGCUCUCAUUUGCAUAUGUUAGCCACCAUAUAUGCUAGUCACUUGCUACAGCUCCACCUCAUACCUUUUACCCUUCCUAUAAGCUUAAAUAGUCUUGAUCACGAGGGUGCGAGAUUACUGAGUCCCAGUGACUCACAGAUACUUCCAAAACCAGUUUGCAGGUGCCGAUGUUACCGAGCAAGUGACGCAACCGAGCUCAAGGAGGAGCUCGAGGAAGAUCUUGUCCUUUAUGUUGUUUCGUUCUAGUUGAUCAGUAGUGGAGCCCAGUUGGGGUCGAUCGGGGAUCUGUGUAGCAUUUGGGGUAGUCUUCUUUUAUUUUGGUUCCAUAGUCGGACCUUGAUUGUAUCUGGAUGAUGUAAUGCUUUAUUCAUGUAAUUGUGUGAAGUGGCGAUUGUAAGCCAACUAUGUAUCCUUUUCCCUUAUGUAUUACAGGGUUGUGUGAAGAUUACCUCACUUGCGACAUUGCUUUCAAUGUGGUUAUGCCUCUAAGUCGUGCUUCGACACGUGGGAGAUAUAGCCGCAUCGAGGGCGUUACAAGUUGGUAAUCAGAGCCUUCCCCGACCUUAGGAGCCCCCCUGCUUGAUCGAAUUAGCUGACGUUGUUGAGUCUAGAAAAGUGUUUUGAGUCAUUUAGGAUUAUAUAUAUCGGAGAGUUAGGAAUUCUUUUUACUCCUCAGUCCCUUUGUCGCUCUGGUGAGACAUCCUGACGUAGAGUUUUGACUCUUCUCUUCUCAAAUUUCACUAAAAAAAUUUAGGAUCACGCGGGUAUCUUGGAAUCGUUCCGAUGGUUUUGUGACGAGAACAUUGUUCUUGGUGCCUCCUGACAUUUAGGGGUUGUGGCAGUGUCCCGGGGAGUUGAGCUCCGAGGUGUUGUCAUCACAAUUUUAUCGUUGCAGUUCUGGAAUACCUGAGUUUAGUUUCGCCGACAUAGAAAAUCUCUUUUAUGCAGUUGUUGGUGAGAUAACCUCGACGCCACCCACUACUGGGGCGGGAGUUCGGGAGUAUCGCCAUAACUCGUAGAACGGAUGCUUUGCGAAGGUUGAGGUAAACAAUUUCCGAAGGUUUCUUGGUUAUGUGUUGAAGGAUGGAUACAGCUGGAUGUAGGAUUUGCUAGAUUUAGGUGAGAUAUUAUGCUUCCCCUGUAUCCCCAACACCUGAUUGCAUAACCAGAAAAUUUCGGGAGUUUAUAAGUGGGAAUUCAAGUAGCUCUUAGGAUAUCUUUCCGACAGAUGUAUGAUAUGAAAUUGGGGUUCGACGUCUAGUGGUCCGCCUAUCCACGGUUGGUUUUACAGUGGUCUCAUUGUGUCUUAAAGAGUCCUUGGCUAUGCCGACUCGGGGACGCUUUGUAUGUCAUGUGCAUUGCCUUGUACGUGAUGGUGUUGUACGAUCGAGCCCGUGUAGGCCCCACCACGAAAACUUCGGACGAAAUCUCUAUCAUAUGUUUGUUCUGGCUUAUUCCGCAAGCCAAUCCUUUGUUUUGUUUUGAGUUGUGAAAUUCGAGUUGCUUCAAUGUCAAGUGUUGAUUCCAUGCCUUUUCCUAAUUGAUGUUCUCAUAUUCCUAUGUGAAUAUUAAUCCUUCAUGAUAAUCGAGAUUGUCAUGUCAAUCGUUUCAACCGGUACGAUUCUCUUCAAGAUGAUCCUAUCAUUUUUCCUAUUUGCAAGAUCCAAUCUCAGUUCUUCCCAACGGUGUUUGUUUUCAUCCAUCCCAAGUUCCUUUGUUUUUCCCGCCCACCCACCCUUGUUUCUUCAAGGACUCGGAUUUCUUUAUCAAGUAUCCAUCUUAUGGAUGUGAAUCCUCUUUACUCCUCUCUUUCAAUGUUCUUAUCCGGUGAUUCUCAUGAAGAUCCUAACGGAACCUCAAGUUCAUCAUUCUUCGUUCCUUUUCUUCUUCGGUGGAUUCAAUUCUAGCUUUGUCGAUCAUAUCAUUUCCUCGUUUCAAAUUCUUUCUUAUGCCGGUGCACUUUUUAAUUAUCCACCUCUCGUUUACCAUUUGUUCCGUUGUACUGAAGAUAUCUCGGAAGAUUAGUGCUUCUAUUCUUGAUCAAUCCAAUCUAUUUUCGAGGUCUUACCUUAUUCAAGCCAUUUAAUUCAACAAGUGCUUUCUCUCUUUUAAAUCGUUCUACGGUGUAUCUUCUGAGUGGGCUCUAACCCACAGGUCUUUUCACAGGAUCUUACCUGGCUCUUCUUAUUUUUUUCUGGAGCUUCUCAAAUUCUUUUCUAAAGUUUGACGUAAGAAUGAUUUAUCAUCAAUCAAAUGUAUUUAUCCAAGAUCUGUCAAAUUCUUUUCAUCGUUGGCUCAACCUUUCUAAUUUUUCAUUCCGGAGUGCCUCAACAAUUCUUGGUGUUGUUUCUCGUUGUCAUUCUCAGAUUUUGAACACCGAAGAAGAGUUUUUCCUCCAUAUCUUAUCCGUUCUCUCAAAAAUUCGUCAUUCUAGCUUGUUGCCAUCUUCUCAUAGUUGUUUUUGGAUUGUGAGAAUUUUUUUCACCUAUCCGGAGCAAAUGCAGGAGUAUUUUUAGUUUGAUCAUCCGGAGCCCAUCAUCUCAGAUUUAUUCAUUUCAACUGGCAGCUCACAUUCUCCAAAUCUUACCGGUGCAUCGUUCGAAUAUCCUCUAUUCUGUUCAUGAUCUCUUCGUUCUCAUGGAUCUAAACCCUCUCAUGUAUCUUCAUUCAUUUGCUAUUUUUUCCCAGUGUUUCCUUAUCUUUACUUUGUUCAUUUUCAAUCCUACUGGUGCUUCAUUGAAGACCUUGUCAAGUUAUCGAUAUCUCUCCUAAUCUUUUCUACGAGAAUAAGUAAUAUGCCAAAUCCUUUGAUUGUCAUCAAUUUAAUUGGUGAAGGAUAAGCAUAAUGUAUUUCUUAUUCUGGUUUCAUCGAGUGAUUAAUUCCCUAUUCCGUAGGUUCAUCAAAUUCUCGUUUCAAGUUGUCCAUCUUUCUUUCCAGAGCUCAAAGUUAUUUCAAUUAUUUCAUCGCGAAGAUCCAUCUAAAGCAUUACAAGGUUUCACCUUGUGUUUUCAACUUCCCUUUCUUCUCGUUAUCCUUUUGUUAGCGGAGUUCUCAUGAAGGCUGAACAUGGUGGUUCAUCAAGGAUUUAAUUUCCUUCUCGAAGUGUUCAUCAACAUUCUUUUCAGAGGAGCUCAUGCAUUCUUUAUCUUGCAAUCCAUAGUGGAAUUGUGUCUCCCUUAUCUUUUGAGGUGGUAAUAUAUCAUUCUUCAAGAAUGAGAUAUUUAAACCCAUCAAUCUCUUCGUUGGAUUUAUCUUGUGUCAUGUUUCACCUAAAUCUUUCUCUAAGGAUUGUUGCUAUUAUGGUGCUUAUAAAUGACCCAAGUUCUUCUUUUAUCCUUCCGGCGAAUAAGCUUUCUUGUCUCCUUGUUCAUAUCAAUCCAAUUCUUCUUCCCGUGAGUGGCAGGUUGUCACCUCAUAAUUUGAGAUGUAUUCCAUAAGACCAUAUCAAGCGUAUUCUUUUCGUUGUUGGUUUUUCCAACAACUCCGUUUGACCCUUCUCCAAAAGAUGCCUUUCAAGCUCUGUUGUGACAGAAGUCGGCAUUUUUUUUCUCCAUUCUUUUCUUUCAAUUAUCUAUCUUCUAUUUCUUUCUUAUGGAGGCCUUGUGAUGUUGCUCUUUUCAAUCAUCAUCUUGAAUUGUGGAGAUCAUGUUCUUUUCGUGGUUAUCCAUUUAACCGGAGUGUGUGCCCGCUGCUCAAGUUCUUUCAUUUUAUCAAGUCUUGCAUCCCUUCUCAACCGGAGUGAUGUUCGAAUUUGUUCUUCCUUGUUCCUCUUUCUUAACGGAGUGCUUUCAACUUUGUUCUUCUCUGUUGUAUUCUUUCUUUCAAUUUGUUUAACCUUUUCAAGGUUCUUUGGUUUCACUCGUUUGUCAAAGAAGCAACUUAGUUUUACCGCUGCUCUUCCUCUUCCUUUUUUCCCUCCAGUGCCAUUCUAGAUCUCGGGACGAGAUCCUCUCAUAGUAGUGGAGUGUUGUGACGCCCCGAGACCGAUGUGCCAGGUGUCUUCCUGUUAUUAGUUGUCGUUUCCAUGUCUUUGCUUGCGUGUCGAAUCUUGUCAUGUCAUCAUAUGCAUUGCAUCAUCAUGUUUUCGAAACUUGGAUGCGUCCCGGCCUCCUCGUUCUCCCCGUUGCCUGUUCUGAGCCCAGACACACUUGCACGUGCCCGCGGCAUGUCCGAAAUAUUAUUUUAUAAGUGGCCGGAAAAUGUUCUCGGAAUGGGUUGAAAGUAGGCGUGCGGUCUUAUUAUAGUGUAGAUAGACCGCUUGUCAAGUUUCAUUGCAUUCAGAGUUCGUUUGAUAGCCCAACCGUUAAACUAUAGCGACAAUAUAGUCGGUCAAAUCGUCGGACGUUUCAGUCUCCGAAACAGUCGCCGGGUCUCUCUCUCUUUUCUCUCCCCUCAGCCCGAGGCCUCUCAGCAACCCACCUACAACACACUUGACCUCAUUCGCCUAACCCCUCUUUGCACAGUGCAUCGACCUCCUCGCGCGCGCGUCCGAAAGCUGUCCCGGACCCGACCUGGGUAGUCGUUACCAUUGUGUCCGGAUCAUCCCCAAACAUCUACAAAACAUCUCCUUUUUUCUUUUUUGGACACCCAUAGCAUUUUAUCUUGACCGUCCGAUUUCGAUCGGAUGAUCCAAACUCCCUCCUUUCCUUAUAUAUAUAUAGCAUCCCCUAACCUAAUCUAGUCUAACCCUAAAAUCUAGCCCACUUGUCCCAUCCACCAAAUCCCUCCGCUGCCACCAGUCCACUACAUCUUCCUCGGGAUCCCCUUCUCCUCGUCUUCCUCCACCACCAACAGGAGCCCGAGCUCAUUCUCCACGACCCCGAGCACUAGAUCCACCGGACCAACCACCUUCUCCUCUUGAUCCAUGGCCACCUCCUACUCGAGCAACCAGCGCCCCGCUGUUUUCUCUCCCCUGUCCGAUCUGGAGGAGAGGAGCUCCUCC
Molecule: long non-coding RNA, 7939 nt
Filed under: Triticum aestivum (bread wheat)
Lineage: Eukaryota; Viridiplantae; Streptophyta; Magnoliopsida; Poales; Poaceae
Description: long non-coding RNA (TAES_LNC020611)
Source: RNAcentral